This 2092-nucleotide long non-coding RNA is filed under the name Macaca mulatta (Rhesus monkey). RNAcentral describes it as "CDC42 effector protein 2 (ENSMMUG00000012316.4)". The record is from RNAcentral. Lineage: Eukaryota; Metazoa; Chordata; Mammalia; Primates; Cercopithecidae.
GCGCUGUCCAGCUCCUGAGACUUUGCUGUCCGCCAGUCCGCCGUCUGCUUGCCUCACGCUCCUCAGCCCUGGACCAGGGACAAGUAACCCUCGGUGACAAGACCAAAGUGCACUGCUGUCCACACAGCUCCUACCUUUCUGGCUUCAAUUCUUCAGAAGAGUUUGUCGUCCUUUGGGGAGAACGUGAUUUUUGUUAUCUCAGCCCUCUGACUUCAUUGAUCUCUAAUCUUUUUUAAUUCCUUGGGCCAACUUUGGUCGUGCCCCACCCUGUAGCCAGGAGCCCUUUGGUGAGCUUUGGGCACCAGCAAACCACCCCUUGGAACGGGUGUUUCCUCUGGCUGAGAGUUUGAGAGGAGGCGUGGUCUCCGCAGGCAGCCUGUAGCCUCACAGCCAGGCCUGGUGGUGAGGUCACCAUGUCCACCAAGGUGCCCAUCUAUCUGAAGCGUGGCAGUCGCAAGGGCAAGAAGGAGAAGCUUCGGGACCUGCUGUCCUCGGACAUGAUCAGCCCGCCGCUGGGGGACUUCCGCCACACCAUUCAUAUUGGCAGUGGUGGCGGCAGCGACAUGUUUGGUGACAUCUCCUUCCUGCAGGGCAAGUUCCACCUCCUGCCAGGGACUGUGGUGGAGGGGCCUGAGGAGGAUGGCACCUUCGACCUCCCCUUCCAGUUUACCCGCACCGCAACUGUGUGUGGGCGGGAGCUCCCGGACGGCCCAUCACCUCUGCUUAAGAACGCCAUCUCCCUCCCGGUUAUUGGUGGACCCCAGGGGAAGAGACAGGGCACAGCUGGCCGCAGGGCUCGGCCACUGGGCGAGCUGUUCCGGGCCUUUGGCUUUGCAUCCUGGACAGGGACUGCCCUGUCAGGGACCAGAUGCGUCCUGCCUCAUCCCCAGUUCCAUCCCUUCCCCACGUGACCGGGGAUUCUGGUUGCAAUAAAACAUGCUGCUGCUGGUGGCUGAGCUCCCUGUCCCCUUGCCCCAGGUUUCCUCAUGGAGGUAGACAGUCUCCCAGAGCUGAGGGCUCGCCUCUGGAGACCCCAGCCCCAGAGGGCUUUGUGGAGGACAGGCCUUGCCCUCAGGAAGGUUGUACCUGACGCUGAGCCUGUUGUGAGAAUGCAACAGGAGCAAACCAAGUGUUGCUGUGGAUAUUCCAACAUUGAUUCAGAUGUUUGGGAAGAGGUGGCUGAGCACUCGGAUAGGCUCAGCACUGUGCCAAGCCUGGGGCCAAUCCCUGCCCAGUCAGCUGGGGUCUGGUGGGGGACACCCAAGAAUAAAAGAAUAACCACAAAGUGUGCAAGGGACCAACAGCUUCUCCAGCUUCAGAGCAUCGAGGGAGCAUGCAGGAGGGAUGCUUGGAGCUGGGAGGGUCUCACGGUGCUGCUUCAAGAUUCAUCCCAUCCACAGCUGUUUACUGAGCAUUUCCAGUACACAAGGCAUGGCUCCGGGUGCUGGGGAUACAAGGCAGAUGUCAUCCCUGCUCUCUGGGAGUUUAAAUUCUAGUUGGAAGGGGGAUAUUAAAUUGGUAAACAAAUAAGAGAUGAUUUCCAGCAGUGGUAAAAACUUCGAAGAAAACAACAUGAUCAGGAAUGCCUAGCAGGGAGGGCAGGGGGUAUCAGGACUCAUUAAUGUGAUCAGAUGUGAUUCUGAGCCAAACCAGAGCUACCAGCUAGAAAACUCAUGUGUAAGCACAGGCACUGAGGAACCAGAGUGAAGACAGAGCCGCCACCACACAGCAAAAGAGUGUGGACCUCCAAGUUGCACUUAGCCUGAGACCCAGUUUCCCCAUCUCUAAAAUGGAGCAGGCCAGGCAUGGUGGCUCACAUCUGUAACCCCAGCACUUUGGGAGGCCAAGGUGGGCAGAUCAUGAAGUCAGGAGAUCGAGACCGUCCUGGCCAACAUGGUGAAACCCCGUCUCUACUAAAAAUACAAAAAUUAGCUGGGUGUGGUGGCACGUGCCUAUAAUCCCAGCUACUAGGGAGACUGAGGCAGGAGAAUCACUUGAACCUGGGAGGCGGAGGUUGCGGCAAGCCAACAUUGCACUACUGCACUCCAGCCUGGCAACAGAGUGAGACUCCAUCUCAAAAAAAAAAAAAAAA